Molecule: ribosomal RNA, 407 nt
Filed under: uncultured prokaryote
Description: bacterial SSU rRNA
Rfam family: Bacterial small subunit ribosomal RNA
Source: RNAcentral
UGGGGAAUAUUGCACAAUGGGCGCAAGCCUGAUGCAGCGACGCCGCGUGAGGGAUGACGGCCUUCGGGUUGUAAACCUCUUUCACCAGGGACGAAGCUUUUGUGACGGUACCUGGAGAAGAAGCACCGGCCAACUACGUGCCAGCAGCCGCGGUAAUACGUAGGGUGCGAGCGUUGUCCGGAAUUACUGGGCGUAAAGAGCUCGUAGGCGGUUUGUCGCGUCGUCUGUGAAAUUCUGCAACUCAAUUGCAGGCGUGCAGGCGAUACGGGCAGACUUGAGUACUACAGGGGAGACUGGAAUUCCUGGUGUAGCGGUGAAAUGCGCAGAUAUCAGGAGGAACACCGGUGGCGAAGGCGGGUCUCUGGGUAGUAACUGACGCUGAGGAGCGAAAGCGUGGGUAGCGAACA